GCAGUUUUCAUUCACCUUACCCUGGCCAAGUUCCCCCAAACGAGCUCACAACCACUCGUGUUAACCCUAUCCCUCGUGUCUUCCCGGAUUUCCUCCGCCGCCGUCCUCGGGUCUCCUACCUCAGCCUCAUCCCCGCUGCUACCGGAGCCCAUAGCCCCGAACUCCCAGCCCCCUCUUUCGCCUCGCUUCCCCGCCCCCUUCGCUGCCACCACCUCAAUCACCAGUGGGCCAUGAUGCAAGUUACAAGCCGCCGUCUGCCUACUCGCCUCCGGCGGCCGUAGCCUGCAUUGCCCGAGCAAGGCACCCUCUGGAUCCCCCUCUCCUCUACCGCGGGACCUCAACCACCAGUGCAGCAGGACCAUCUCCACCCCUGUGCAUCACGAUUUUGCAGCUCUCCCUCGUCCACGAUUGGAUCUCCUCACCACCAUCACACCUUUCUACAUCAGCAAUAGAGGUGCGCCCAACUUCCUCUACCAGACCCGGAGCUGUGCCACUCUUCCUCCAAAAGCACCGGAGCCACACAUCUGCACACCAUCACGACGGCGCUGACGGUUAGUGUUGCUCGCCGCCGUCACCAUUCCUACAGUAAUAGAGGAGCUGAUCCAUCCUUUGCUUCCUACCUCGACGAGCGGCAGCGGUUAGAGGCACGCCAUCCCUUCUCUUUUAGCAAUACAACAUCUUGGCGUAGUGGUGUUGUUUAUUUGUCGCUCUACUCCUUUGUUAAUAUGUUAAACUGCAGUUAUUGUUAUUUCUUUAGUCGAUAAAAAUCAGUGCCAGCUACUGUCAGUUAUUCAGUCCAUAAUUAUGGUUCCAAGCAAGUUUUCAUUGUUAAUAAUUGUAGUUGUAAGCAAGUUUUCAGUUCUUUGAUCAAUAAUUGUACUAUCUUAUUGAACAAACUGCAGCUACUGCCUACUAGAGUACUAGUGUGAGUGUCUAUUGUCUAGCACUAUUGGUGUCUAGUAGUGAUAAAAUUCUAUAUUUUUUAGAUUGUCUGAAGUGGUAGUAGACUAGUACAUAAUCAUGGUUGCUCUUGUACAAAAUGAACUAAAGAAUCAUGAACAAAAUUAGUUGCCCUUUUCUUUUAUUCUGUAGAACUAAGCUUAUCUGUGUAUUCUGGACCCUUUGAUGCACUGAUGUCGAUAAGCUAUAUCCUGAAUAUUGAUUUAAAAUAGUAUAAAAUGAUUUAAUCUUAGUAGCAGAUCUAGAUAUUUGAUUGGAUAUUUUGCUAUUAAUAUAUACUGCUACCUUUUUGAUCUGUUUGUUCAUGUACUACUAUACUUUGCAUUUAUCAGUUUGUUUUAUACUGGUUUCAAAUUUGGGUGAAUGGGUUGUUGUCAUCGUGAUGCAACAAAGGAAUAAGCAUUGGCCACUAGGUGGAUAUGGAAGGCUGGAGAUGGAUGCUAUGACGAUGGUGACAUAAUUUGGAGCUUGAUAUUUACAUGGACGUCGAGUAUGAUAGGAGAGAUUAAUGUUCCAGUCUUCAUCAGUAGCACCCAUGAAUCCUAAGAUCGAUCGGACAUUAUUUCUUGAUUAUUUUCCUGGGAGGAAUCCUAAGAUUAAUUGUUUCUUUAUUUUUUACCAACAUUUAAUGGUUUCGUAUCUUAUGCCUUUCAUCUAACUUUGCCUGCCAUUUAUAUCUACUCCAAGCAUACCAUAUUCAGAACUGAUAUACAACAUAUAGUCAGAUUAGUUCUGAUUUUGCCAUGACAAUAUCACCAGUAUUAUUCAUGAUUCCUCUACUAGCAUUAAAUUUUCCUUUUUCCAACUGAAAUUUGAAAAGAGCAUUAGUUUAAUUUUUUGAUAGGAUCUCGGAUAUCCUUCACGUGAUUUUACCCCUCUUUUAUGUACGGUACUUUCACAUGGUCGUCGUCGGUUCGGUGCUUUUACCCCCUCCUUCACUUACGUAAGCAACCAUCCCUGCCUCUCUUUACUCAUGCUUGUGCUCAGUAUAAAGGUUUGUGUGAAGGUUGGCUUUGUGCUCAGUUUAUAACAUUUCUCCAUGGUCUGUAGCUACUACUUCACUAUAAUUCUAGAAUAGGAUAAUAAGGGAAAGUACUACACUCUAUUUUAGUUGUGCUCUCUAACACCAAAAUGUUUAGGCCAAUAGUUUCGUAUAGUAGUAUUAAAAAUGCAUAUAUAUAUUCAUUCUAUGUGUAGGUAGGCUAUCACCCUAGGACCAAUCAUCUGUUGUUUUAUUUGGUUACGAGAAACAUAUUGCUAUCUAACACCAUGCAAGGACUUGUAUCAUUCUAUUUUGUAAAAGUAUGUAUCAUGCACUCUUUUUCAGAAUUAUAAGAAACUUUUGAUUUUUAAUGUUGAUACCAUGCUAGAGGUAGCUUAUAAUUUCAUCUUCAUCUACUAUGGCUGCAUGUAUAUUGUGAGCGCAUCAUGGUGAUAUGCAAAACCACCAUGGAAGAACAACAACUCCUAAGAGGAGCUAUUAUGUGCCGCUCCUUUGGACAAAACACCUCGCCCUUGCCAUGGACCAUAUCCAUGAAGGAAUGUCUACAAGGAAAAGAAGUUAUUAUCUUUAGUUUCAUAAAAUAAUGACAAAAAGCAUGAAGGUUUGAAGCGAAACAUUAUCUGAUGAAGAGAACGCUGAUAAAGCAUGAUGGUUGGAAGCAAACCAACGGCCAAGAGAAAAUCAUCUAGAGUGCUGAAAAAAAUAAGGUACUCCACCAACUUUUUCUCUAACCGUUUAGCUAGACAGUGUACUAUGCUAACAUAUUGUACUUUUUCACAACAAUUAACAAAUGGUAUUUUUUGUGACUCGUGUGUUUGGGAGAUUGUUAAGAUGGUUAAGAUUAUGCUUUGUCAAGAUUGAUGUGUUUCUCAACAUGGGUUCAAUGUAUCUGCAUGUUUGUGAACAUAUUUUCAUUGUUGUACAAUAUGUGUUCAUCUUGAA
Hordeum vulgare subsp. vulgare (domesticated barley) is the source of this 2905-nucleotide long non-coding RNA. RefSeq lists it as uncharacterized. The transcript is spliced from 2 exons. NCBI's taxonomy places the organism in Eukaryota, Viridiplantae, Streptophyta, Magnoliopsida, Poales, Poaceae. The record is from RefSeq and is a predicted model, not a curated record.